RNAcentral lists this ribosomal RNA (253 nucleotides) under uncultured bacterium. Its description in RNAcentral is "partial 16S ribosomal RNA". It matches the Rfam family "Bacterial small subunit ribosomal RNA", at positions 524 to 776 of the family's 1533-position model. The record is from RNAcentral.
UACAGAGGUCCCAAGCGUUGUUCGGAUUCACUGGGCGUAAAGGGUGCGUAGGCGGUCGGGUAAGUCUGACGUGAAAUCUUCAAGCUUAACUUGGAAACUGCGUCGGAUACUAUUCGGCUAGAGGAAUGGAGGGGAGACUGGAAUACUUGGUGUAGCAGUGAAAUGCGUAGAUAUCAAGUGGAACACCAGUGGCGAAGGCGGCUCUCUGGGACGGUACUGACGCUGAGACGCGAAAGCGUGGGGAGCGAACAGG